Molecule: long non-coding RNA, 141 nt
Organism: Salarias fasciatus (jewelled blenny)
Lineage: Eukaryota; Metazoa; Chordata; Actinopteri; Blenniiformes; Blenniidae
Exons: 3
Source: RefSeq, a predicted model, not a curated record
CACAAGUCUCGGGGCAGGGAGUUUUCGGGCUUGCAUACGCUCCAGCUUGGUCGCCGUUUCGGUGUGCAAGGGCCUCUCUCAUGCCUCUCGUGCAAAUGUGUCCGUGUGUGUGUGUGUGUGUGUGUACAUCUGAAGAUUCCU